RNAcentral lists this unclassified non-coding RNA (336 nucleotides) under soil metagenome. Its description in RNAcentral is "partial contains 5.8S ribosomal RNA, internal transcribed spacer 2, and large subunit ribosomal RNA". The stretch from base 1 to 120 matches the Rfam family "5.8S ribosomal RNA", at positions 35 to 154 of the family's 154-position model. The record is from RNAcentral.
GAUGAAGAACGCAGCGAAAUGCGAUAAGUAAUGUGAAUUGCAAAAUUCAGUGAAUCAUCGAAUCUUUGAACGCACAUUGCGCCCGCCAGUAUUCUGGCGGGCAUGCCUGUUCGAGCGUCAUUUCAACCAUCAAGCCCCAGGCUUGUGUUGGGGACCUGCGGCUGCCGCAGGCCCUGAAAACCAGUGGCGGGCUCGCUGUCACACCGGGCGUAGUAGAUUUUAUCUCGCUCAGGGCGUGCUGCGGGUCCCGGCCGUUAAAAGCCUUUUUUUACCCAAGGUUGACCUCGGAUCAGGUAGGAAGACCCGCUGAACUUAAGCAUAUCAAUAAGCGGAGGA